GGGACACAGAGGGGACACUUUGGGGACACCCCCACACUUUGGGGACACCCUGACACUUUGGGGACACCUUGGGGACACCCCCAGACCUUGGGGACACCCCCCACAUCCCGGGGACACGCAGGGUGUCUGGGCUGUGAUGCUGGUGACGUGAUGUGUCACCCAACGGCCUUGGUCAUGUCCCUUGACACCGGCCCUGGGCUCUGCUGGGGGUGGCCCCGGGGGUGUCAUUGUCCCCAACAUCGUCCCCAACAGCCUCAGUCGUGUCCCCAACCCUGUCCCUGGGCUCUGGGGGUGGCCCCAGGGGUGUCCCUGUCCCCAAAGCUGUUCCUGACACCGUCCCCAACAGCCCUGGUCAUGUCCCCUGACACCGUCCCUGUCCCCAACAGCACUGGUCAUGUCCUCAGUGCUGUCCCCGACACCGUCCCCAACAGCCCUGGCUGUGUCCCCUGACACCUUCCCUGUCCCCAACGCUGUCCCUGUCCCCAACAGCCCCCCCCUUACACUGUUUGUGUCCCCAACAGCCCUGGUCAUGUCCCCUGACACUGUCCCCAACGCCGUCCCCCAACAGCCGUGGCUGUGUCCCCAACGCUGUCCCUGUCCCCCAACAGCCCUGGCUGUGUCCUCUGACACUGUCCCUGUCCCCAACACUGUCCCCUUACACUGUUUGUGUCCCCAACAGCCCUGGCCGUGUCCUCUGACACUGUCCCCAUCCCCAACACCGUCCUCAACAGCCCUGGUCAUGUCCCCUGACACCAUCCCUGUCCCCAACGCCGUCCCCCAACAGCCCCGGUCAUGUCCCCAACGCUGUCCCUGUCCCCAACAGCCCUGGUCAUGUCCCCUGACACCGUCCCCAACACUGUCCCUGUCCCCAUUGCUGUCCCUGACACUGUCCCCAACAGCCCUGGUCACGUCCCCUGACACCAUCCCUGUCCCCAACAGCCCUGAUUGUGUCCCCUGACACUGUCUCUGUCCCCAACAGCCCUGGCUGUGUCCCCUGACACCAUCCCUGUCCCCAGUGCUGUCCCCCAACAGCCAUGGCCGUGUCCCCAACACUGUCCCUGUCCCCGACACUGUCCCCCAACAACCCUGGUCAUGUCCCCUGACACCGUCCCUGUCCCCAGUUCCGUCCCCCAACAGCCUCAGUCGUGUCCCCAACGCUGUCCCUGUCCCCAACACCGUCCCCAACAGCUCUGGUCGUGUCCCCAACGCUGUCCCUGUCCCCAACAGGCCCCCCCCUCACACUGUGUCCCCCAACAGCCCUGGUCAUGUCCCCUGACACCGUCCCCAGCACUGUCCCUGUCCCCAUUGCUGUCCCUGACACUGUCCCCAACACCCCUGGUCACGUCCC
This 1348-nucleotide long non-coding RNA is filed under the name Calidris pugnax (ruff). RNAcentral's name for it is "lncRNA (ENSCPUG00000010628.1)". The record is from RNAcentral. Lineage: Eukaryota; Metazoa; Chordata; Aves; Charadriiformes; Scolopacidae.